UCCGCAUGAGUUCUCUUGUUGAGUCUAAGAGAAAAGAUUUGCACUCGAAAAGAGAGUCGAGAUAGAGAGCCAUGUGAUUGCUUGUGCUUGGAUGCUUGCUUCUAUACAAGUGUCGUUUAAAGUCUUAGUACAUCGCUUGAGGACAAACAACGAAUUUAAGUUGAGGGUGUUGAUAUACCGUGAGUUUAUGAUAUUUUUAAUACAUGUCACUUAAGAGUUGUGUG
This 224-nucleotide long non-coding RNA is filed under the name Solanum tuberosum (potato). RNAcentral's name for it is "long non-coding RNA (STUB_LNC007980)". Lineage: Eukaryota; Viridiplantae; Streptophyta; Magnoliopsida; Solanales; Solanaceae. The record is from RNAcentral.